AUGAAAGACAGAUGGGAGUAAUAUUGUCAGGUUUCAGUAAUCAAAACAGUAUUAGUCAAAUACUGUAUAUUAUCAAAUAUUAUAGUGCAAAUAUUAGAAUGACAUGCAUGUUAGCAAGUGAAGUCAUACUUUACCUUUCUCUAUGCUCGCUUGAUGUUUUUCACAGCAAACCAUCCUUUGUCACACCAGGGUUAACAAACCACUUAACAGCUGUUAGUAAGCGGACAUCAGUCUAUACUACACAUCACAGGGUCAAAGCGUGAGCUACGAUAUGUUGGAGUGAUAUCAGUUCCAGGACACAGAGGGGCACAGCUCAGAAGGCCAAGGUCUGCGUCAUGCUGUUUCCCUGUGAUUCCCAGGGCCAAAGGACACAGAGGUGAUUUGCCUCCUUUGGCUGCUUGGCGUUUUCCACUCUAUGAUGUAAUGGAC
Molecule: long non-coding RNA, 429 nt
Organism: Acanthopagrus latus (yellowfin seabream)
Lineage: Eukaryota; Metazoa; Chordata; Actinopteri; Spariformes; Sparidae
Exons: 4
Source: RefSeq, a predicted model, not a curated record